UGCCAGCCGCGCGGUAAUACGGAGAGGGCAAGCGUUGUUCGGAAUCACUGGGCAUAAAGCGCACGCAGGCGGAUUGGAAAGUCGGUUGUGAAAGCCCGGGGCUCAACUCCGGAACUGCUUCCGAAACUUCCAGUCUAGAGGAUGAGAGGGGAGAGUGGAACUUCUGGUGGAGCGGUGAAAUGCGUAGAGAUCUGAAGGAACAUCAGUGGCGAAGGCGACCUCCUGGACUGAUAUUGACGCUGAGGUGCGAAAGCGUGGGGAGCAAACAGGAUUAGAUA
RNAcentral lists this ribosomal RNA (278 nucleotides) under uncultured bacterium. RNAcentral describes it as "partial 16S ribosomal RNA". It matches the Rfam family "Bacterial small subunit ribosomal RNA", at positions 506 to 784 of the family's 1533-position model. The record is from RNAcentral.